GAGGGAGGGAGGCUGCGGACGAGUGCGGGGAGGAGUUUGAGAUGGGAGGCGCUUGCAGGGGCUCCCCCAGUUCUGCGCUGUGAGCCGGGGCACAAAGAGCCCUCUGCACUAGCGCCGCAGGACCGCGGACCCGAGUUGGAGGCAUCUGUCCACCCAUGUGGUUCCAGACACGUUCAUGUGGCCACCAUGACCCCGUCGGCAUCACAGGGGUAACCAAGGUCCACAGAACGAGGGGAAAGGGUCACUGUGGAUCAAGCCAGGCUCCUCUGAGCAGUCCAGGGUCUAUUUACAGAGAGCAGCAAGUUCCUGGGACAGAGGAGACAGAAGGGAAUUUCCAGGUUCUUCAGGACGUUCACAACCACACUGAGAAGCAUCUUUGCAGAUAAGUAUUUAAACUUACCAGCCCAUAGCCUACCAGCCUGCCCUCUUCUGGUCUGUGCAGGAAAGUGUAGUAUCCUAGAAUGCCAAAGUGGGAGGGGAAAUGGGUGAUGUAGCUCAUUCUCUUUUCUACCUCUAUGGAAGAAAGAAAGAGCCUGUCCCCAUUUUGUGGGGUCCCAGAAAGGGUGAUUUUCACACUUCACAUUUGGCGUUAGGGCUAGUAUUUCACAAACAUUACCGUCUGGAACUUUUGAAGGCUGAGUUAAAUGACUUCAUCUUGUGUACUUGUAGAACUGCUAUUAGAAGGAGGCUGGGGACUCCCUGAUGAUGUGAACCAGCCCUUCUCUUCUCAGUUUCAGCACUUUGUGAUCAUAUUUAUAAACCUUGGACAGGGCUCCUUGGCCUUAGAGUUAAGUGAAGAGUUAACACUGUGACUUUAGAUGCAUUUUUCUCAGUGUAAGUGUCUGAGCUCAUCUCCAGUUCUGGACUCGUGCCCCCACUCCCGGGUGCUGACAGCAAGCUCUGAAGAUAUGCUGAGAGAGCUCCCUGACUCUCCUGACUCAGGUCUGCCAGUUGAUGAAGACAGCACAGUUGUUACCAAAAACAAAACCUGGCAGAUGGUCCUAGGUCAGGAUUAGUGGUCAUUCUCUGGUCUUCUCCAGACUGGUGACACAGGGUGGUCUUAAAAGAGUCCUAGUCCAGCCUCUGGCUCCCCGAAUUUCCUCUGGUGCAUGGGGCAUCAGGAAAGGGCAGGGGAGAAGGAGGGGGAGCAGAAAAAUAACUGAGGCUGGGCAGAAGGGUCCCUUCCAUUUCCCAUCCAUUGCUUCAAACAAUGGGUGAUUACCGUGCACCUUGAGUGAAUGUCAAGGCAGGAAGGGUUCCAGGGCCACCCAGUGUGGCAGGAGCAGAGCUGGGAUCAGAAUUCUGGAUUCCUGACUCUCCGUUCAGCUGCUAUUCAGCUAUCACCAAGCUGCUGAGUUUGUCCUACUUUCUCCUGGGUCACAUUCUGCUGUUGUUGGGAAACAGGGAGUGAGUGAAGGGAACCUGGGAACCCUUCUCCCCUCACCUUUUAAGGAUGUUCUGGGGUGGAAUAAAGAGAGGUGGAGGGUGGGGUGCCUGGGCCCAGCCUCCCUGGCUCCUGGUCCUUCUUUCUUCAGCAGGGAGUUCUGGCAAGGCCUGGGCCUGGGGAGGGGGCCUGGGUGCAGUUUUCUCCUGCGGUGUGGUUGGCUCUUUUGUCUUCCAGGAUGGGCCUGUGGGGUCUGUGUGGGGAAGGAAGGAGCUGGGAGCCUGGGCUGCCUGUGUGUCGGCUGGAUGCUGCCAGCACCGGCAUGGACCAAGCAACUUCUCUGAGCCAGAUGCUGGGGACGCAGAGGUGAACCCAGAGACAUGAUCCCAUCUGCUCAGAUCUUCAUGUCAGAACACGCUUUAUUACAGUCUCGGCAAGGGGGUGGCUCCAUCUGGGCCGCAUCUCCAGGACUCCUGGCCUGGACUUCUCUUUGGACCUCGGGUGACCUUGGAUUCUGGCCACAGUGACUUAGCGGUCAGACUCCGGUGGUUUUCUAGCCCGCUGGGUGACUCCCUGAAGAUCUCAUCCUCUUCACACCUGUUGGGAUGGAGCCUCCCAUGGAUAGGAACUCUUCCUGGUUGAUGCUCAGCAGAUGACUGAUCUGGCUCUGGAGGACAGCUCCAGGGGUAUGAGGGAGGCCUGGCAGCCCACUACUCCCUCCUCACCUGCUCGGGCCCUGCCUGCUGGGCCCUAUUGUCUGGGUCUGGGGGCCCUUUCCUGCCCCAUGUGAACUUGAUUCCUCCUCGCGUUUCUGCCGGUGACCAGACAGAGCCUGGCCUGGGCCAAGUCCCCACUGACCACACUUUCCCCAAGGCUGGGUCUCAAAGGACCCUACAGGAUGGGGACAGGAACAAGGAUGGGAGUCGGGGAGGGGCUGUCAGGCAGAGGGCAGAUGCAGCUCCUCGGGUGCCGCUGGCUGGAGUCCUUUGUCUCCAUUUGCUCAGUGCGUAAUUGUCAUUUUGUGGGGGACUUCCUUGGUGGGGCUUUUCCAUGCUUUUCCUCUCCCUGAUGGUUACAAAGAGGAGACAGUCAGGAUCUGGGAGGAGCUGGAGCCUUCCCCCUGUGCUGUUGAACUCUGGGAGGGGCAGCCAGAGGGGCUGAGAGUGCACCAUCCUGAAAAGAGAGGGUCUUUAAGAGAUAAGAUUUAGGCUAGGGAAAUUCACUAGAAAGAGACAGGUGGCCCUGGGUUUUUUUUCCUGCCAUCCAAAGGGAACCAGUCUUACCCAAAGGCUUAAGGGGUCACCUUAGCCCAGUCUCAGGACACUCUUCUCCAAUCAGAUCGCUGCUUCUAGUUGCACUGCUCCUGGAUUCUGUUCUUGGGGAACAGAAGGUGGCAGGACAGGCCCCACAAUCUGCAAUUCCAGCUCCCUCCAGAGGAGACAGUCCCAGCGUUUGCAAGAGAGCAGCUUGUGGCCUCCCUUAGGCAAGUUUAAAAGCCAGAUGUCCUUUUUCCCAGAAUGCGGAGUGGUGUGUACUAUUCAUCAGCUUGGGCUGCCACAGCACCAUGCCAGACUGGAUGGCUUAAACAUCAGGAAUUUAUUUUCUGCCAGUUCUGGAGGCUGGAAAGUCCAGAUCAAGGUGUUAAGACUUGGUUUCUGGUGAGGCCUCUCUCCUUGGCUUGCAGGUGGCACCUUCUCACUAUGUCCUCACAUGGCCUUUUCUCUGUGGAGAGGGACAGAGAGCAUGAGCAGGCUCUGGUGUCUCCUCCUCUUCUUAUAAAGACACUAAUAUCACCAUAUUAGGGCUUAAACCUAUGACCUCAUUUAACCUUAACCCCUUAAAGGUCCCAUCUCCAAAAACAGUCACAUAGCAGGCUACUGCUUCAACAUAUGCAUUUGGGGGAGGGGACACCAUUCAGUUCUUAACAGGGUGGUCACCGCAAACAUGGAAAGUCAGAGCCUUCUCCCCUUCAGAAUUCCCGCCCCCACCCAGGGAUGGGGAGGAGGAGCAGAGAGGUAUGGGAAGCAGACACGGAGAGUGGCAGGUACCAUGCUGGGGUGGCUCAGGAGUGCUUCGGAGGACAUAUGGAACUGGCAGGGCUCAGUGCAGGGAGGCGGAGGCCCUGGGAGAGCCGUGUCCUGAGAAGGGCCUGGGCUACAACCCUGGGCAAGUUACUUCACCUCUGAGCCUCCGAUGCUCUGUGAAAUGGAAGGAAUGUGCUUGCCUGUCAGGUGCAGGGAGAAUUCAGUGAGAUUGUGUGCCUAGCACAGUGCCUGACUCCCAGUAGGUGCUCAGCAAAUGCUCCCAUCCAUCUGGGAGUAUAGACUUAGGGUUUAUCUAUUUUUUUUUUUUUUUGGCUCUCUGGACUUUAAAACUCAGCAUCUUCUGAACCAGAGGCAUUUCUGAUUAGCCCUUCCCUACCUAUUUUCCUAGUAUCACUCUUUAAUCAGCUUGGGGAGGUGGCAGCAUUUCAUGGCCUCCGUAGUAACUCACAAUGCUUCCUGGGGUAUUUAAAUUCUACUCUCUCAUCAGCACUGAGCACCUACUUUGGGCCCUUUCCCGUGCUAGCCAUUUGGGGGAAAUAUAGGUGAAGAGUGGCUGGGGUUUGAACCUUUAGGAUUUCACAGCCAUGCUGGAUGGGAUAAAACCAGCUCACAUGGAGAAUCAGAGAAUGGGACAGUGCCACAAAACAGUCUACUGAGGCACAAGUUCUGAGUGCCUGGGAAGUGGUAGAGAGACCCCAGAGAGGGCUGCUGCAGUCUGGAACAGCUUCCUAGCAAGCUGUACCAAACAGGGCCUUGAAGGAUGAGAAAGAUCUGGCUGAGAUGAUACCCGACCCUCUAGGGAAAUUCUUAAAGUAACUUCUAGGAAAUGUCAUUGCUCCUUAAAAAAAAAAAAAAAAAAAAAAAAGCAGGUUCUAAUUCAAAUUCCGCUGCACUACUGAAGUAGUGCAGGACUUAUCAGAACCUUUAAAAUGCUAAUGGCAAUUUCAAAUACUCAGGGACAGGGCAUAGGAUGAAGUGUUCCUUGACUUUUAUGGCCGUAGAAUCUUUUUCUCAUGGAACAUCGUUUAGAACUGUGGGAGAUGCUAGGCUGGGGUUUCUAUGGGAAAAGUACAGCAGUGAUAGAAGAUGGCAUAAUUAGGGUACACUUAGGUGCUUUGUAGCAUUGGCUGAAAAGGAAGCAGACCGGGUGGGCGUGGGGGAGUCUCAACUUGGUUCCAGGAGCCAGGCCAGCUUGAUGCGUUUUUUUUUUUUCUAAUGGUGGGAGGGCAGGCCAAUAGUUGGAGAAACUAGAGGCCUGACAGUCGGUGAUGGAAGAGAUGUCUACUAAGCACGGUUGUCAGAUCUUUUGCGGAGAGAUGCGGGUGUGCGUGUGUCUGUCAGAGUGUAACAGGAUCCAGCCCUCUGGGAAGGGGCUGACCAGAACCAGGCAGGGGGUUUCUGUCUAGGACAAGUAGGGUCCAUUUUCAGGGGAGCUGAAAUAUUUGCAGGGGGUGCUCUGAGACCCACAGCCAAUAAAUAGGGAAGCAACAUGCUUUUGGGCAGGGUCCAUGUGGUUAGGGUUGAUUUUGAUGGGGCUGGGGGGCUUAGAGUUAGACCCCCUGCCCUGGUCAGGCCCCACUCCCUGGCUGGUGGGGGCGGGAGGCCUCUGAAGCUGCAGCUGGAGGGGCCGGGGCAGUGUUGCAUGGUGUGAUUAACCUACUAACCCAGGGCUCAGCCGGGACGCUGUGGCGUGUGACGAGGUGCCUGGCCUUCUGCCAACCAACUAACCCACUAACCAGGCCCGAGCAUGCCCUACUAACCACCCCCCCGCAGCCAGAUCCUACUAACUGUGCAGCUCAUGGGCCUUUCAAGGGGCUGGGAUAUGGGGGCAGCCAAGGCUCCAGAAGGCUCUGCCUAUGGGCUGGGAUCUUUGUGCAGACCCACGUUCCAGGACAGAGAAUGCAAAUAAGACUCACCAACUCUGCCACUUCCUGUUGAGUGAGUUUGAGUAAGUCACCUCACUUCUCUCAACCUCAGUUUCCUCAGUGGUAGAAUGCGAGUUCUGAUACCUUACAGGUUGCAGUGAGGAUUCCCGUCAAUAUAAGGGUCUCAGCACAUGGCAGACACCUAAAAAAAAAAAAAGUAUGAGGAUGGAGGAAGGCCCCUCAAACCUGGUUGAACACGUCUGCUGCCUAGGCCCUGGCCUCUCUGGGUGUUCUGCACACAGAUCCUUCUGCCUGGGGCAAGACACUUGGCUUUGAAUCCAUGUCACUUCCCCACAUUCUUCCUCCGUCUCAGCUUUCUUUUCUGUAGGCAGCUCUUUUGUUCGAUUACUAACCCGUCUAACCCCUGGGGUGCCUCAACUGCACCCCGAUCAUCCCUUAACAAACUAACGGACCUGCGUGCGUUCUUCCUUUUCUCUUAGCGACUCCUGUGUGUGUCUGCUGAGGUGCCCUGUCCGCUGGUGCUGUGCUCUGACUUACUAACCCAGCCCCUACUAACCCUGUUUUCUCUUCUUACUAACCCCAGCCCUGCCGAGCUCUGGGCUCCCCCCGGGGGCUGGUCCCCCUCCUUUUGGCAAGCAGAUGACCUGGGGCUACUGGCCCUGUAGACAGAUGUCCCACUUUGCUGCCCCAUAUUGGCUGUAAGAUCAGAGUCCACUGGGCCAGGUCUAAGGCAGGGGAUGGCCCUAUUAACAAGACUCAGAGGAGGAAGAGGUGGUCCUGUGGAUGUGGGAGGCUGGACUCUGAGUAUGACAUCUCUCCUAUGUGCAGAAGUCUGGUUGCCACUGGGAGUAGGUGGGACCAGGGAAAUCUCUGGGACGUGAGUGUGGAGGCCUGUUGGUCUAGACUCUAGACUGUGGAGCUCUGAGCUUUUGUGUCCUCUGGAAGGAAGCUGGGGAAGAAUCCUCUCCAUUGUUAAGUGACGGGGAUAGAAGCUGUCCUGCACAGGAAGUCACGAGGGGGGCGUAUCCCACGAGGAAGGCAGGAGGGGGCGUGCCCCUCACCGGAAAUUAGCAGAGGGGCGUGUCCCACACCGGAAGUCAGAAAGCGGAGCCUUUCUUACACCGGAAGUCAAUGAAGCGGGUCUUUCCUACGCUAAAAACCACUGAGUGGAGUAUUUAGUACACAGGAAGUCGGCCAGAGAAACAUUUCUCAUAUUUGAAGGCCGGAAAGAGGGACAUUUCUGACACCGGAAGUCAGUGAGAGGACUCUUUCCCACACAGGAAGUCAGCUAGAGAGCCGUCUCCCCUCUCUGGAGCCGAGAGAGGCCGGUUUCCCCCACCAUAGCAGGGCUGGGAGAAAGGGAUGGGGAGAGUCCCUCCUGCCACUGACCCAGGAUGGAUAAAAGUACCCCUUUCAUAGAAGGAAGAAAAUGGGAACAAAGGUGCUGCUGAUCAUCUGAGGUUGCCUGCAUGGCAGUGAAGAACAUGGACCUUUGGGUAGCCCACCUGGGAGGAAUUUUCCAGAGAUCACUGUCUGAUGACCCUGUCUUGGAAUUGGAGCCAUGCAAGUUACACUGACCACGUUUGGGUUGGGAUAUUGAGGAGGUUAUGGUUAAAAGCAUACGAUGGGAGAUCAUAUUGUACUUGCGAGUGAGACCCGGCUGGAGGAAUGUUUUAAUUCUUCGGAAAUACCAAGUGGUCUCUGGGGACCUUUGGCCAUGUCUUGAGAUGUUUUUGGUUGCCGUGAUUGAGGAGGUGCUACCAGCGUCUGCUGGGCAGAGACCAGGGAUGCUGCUCCACAUCCCACAAUGCACAGGACAAUCUUCUCUACAGCAAUGAAUUAUCCAGUUCACAAUCUCAAUAGCACCAAUAUUGAGAAACCCUGUUGAAGAUGGAGACUAUCCACGGGGCAUUGAUCUUGGGGUCUCCCCCUUCCUGAAUACUUGAAGUCCCUCGGCAGACUCUUGGAUACCUCCAGCAAUGGGGAGCUCACCACCUGUUUUGAAGCCAGGCAGGUUUGGGCUCUUCUUGUAGCUGUGUGACUCUGGAUUUUCCCAUAGGUGGGAGUGGAUCCACCACCUUGAGCUUCAGUUUCCUCCAGUGCCAUGGGAUUAGCAGCAGCCCUGCCUCACAGAUUGCGUGAGGAUGAAAUGAGAUGAUGCUCCUGAGUUGGCUGGUGCAGUGCACGGUACACAGAGAGUGCUCAAUAAAUGUUCC
RNAcentral lists this long non-coding RNA (7531 nucleotides) under Homo sapiens (human). RNAcentral describes it as "LHRI_LNC725.18". The stretch from base 5070 to 5218 matches the Rfam family "Myocardial infarction associated transcript exon 5 conserved region 1". The record is from RNAcentral. Lineage: Eukaryota; Metazoa; Chordata; Mammalia; Primates; Hominidae.